This 464-nucleotide ribosomal RNA is filed under the name uncultured bacterium. Its description in RNAcentral is "partial 16S ribosomal RNA". It matches the Rfam family "Bacterial small subunit ribosomal RNA", at positions 28 to 507 of the family's 1533-position model. The record is from RNAcentral.
GACGAACGCUGGCGGCGUGCUUAACGCAUGCAAGUCGAACGGAAAGGCCCAGCUUGCUGGGUGCUCGAGUGGCGAACGGGUGAGUAACACGUGGGUGAUCUGCCCCUAACUUCGGGAUAAGCUUGGGAAACUGGGUCUAAUACCGGAUAGGACAAUCGUUUAGUGUCGGUUGUGGAAAGUUUUUUCGGUUAGGGAUGAGCCCUCGGCCUAUCAGCUUGUUGGUGGGGUAAUGGCCUACCAAGGCGUCGACGGGUAGCCGGCCUGAGAGGGUGGACGGCCACAUGGGGACUGAGAGACGGCGCAGACGCCUACGGGAGGCAGCAGGGGGGAAUAUGGCACAAUGGGCGCAAGCGUGAUGCAGAGACGUCGCGUGGGGGAUGACGGCCUUCGGGUUGUAAACCUCUGUCGACAGGGACGAAGAUUUGGUGACGGUACCUGUAUAAGAAGCACCGGCUAACUACGUG